Molecule: long non-coding RNA, 3472 nt
Filed under: Nicotiana benthamiana
Lineage: Eukaryota; Viridiplantae; Streptophyta; Magnoliopsida; Solanales; Solanaceae
Description: long non-coding RNA (NBEN_LNC029652)
Source: RNAcentral
UCUCCCCAAGAGUAAGGUGGGAAGUUCUUGGAGGGAAGGAUGCCGGGGGUCUAUUUGGAAACAACCUCUCUACCCAAGGGUAGGGGUAGGUUUGUGUACACACUACCCUCCCCAGACCCCACUAAGUGGGAUUAUACUGGGUUGUUGUUGUUGUUGUUGUUGCUUUGUGUGAUCUGUGAAUUUAGGAAGUACUUUCGCUUUUAUCUUCUGAAUGAUAGUAUCACUUUGUAUGGGUAAUUCAAACAUAAGAACAUAGUUCUAACUGAAGGUGAAAUACUUAAAUGUGCUACGUUGAAUAUUGGAGGACCAAAACCUUAAUAGAGGAUUAUUUAGGGACUGAAAUUCUAUUUGCAUUGCAGUGUGAUGUAUUCUGAAUCUGCUUAAGUAUGUGGAUGAGUAUAUGUGUGUGAUCCAUGAAUUUGUGAAGUUACUUCUCUUAUUCAUCUUCUGAAUGAUAGUUCCAGUUAAUAUGUACAACAGCGCAAGUGGAACAUAAUUGAACGUUUGGUUUUAUUGAAAUUAAAUGUGAAAAAAUUGAAUAACAUAGGGACAAAUGGAAUAAAACAAUAAAUUAGGGACUAAAACCUCUUUUUCCCCUUUUAACUUUGUUGGUUCUCUAUAAUUGUUGAUGCACUUUGUUAGCUGUGGUUCCCGUUCUUUCUCUUUGCCUCCGAAGAUUUGAAGCAUGAGUAUGAUUCUACUCCUCUUUUCCUUCUCUUUUUGAUAGUUUAUCAAAGAUCUGUUGAGUGAGUUUUGAUUCAUAGAUUAAUGUAGUGUUGUUUUCUCUUUUUUGAUAAACGCGAAAUUCCGGAGGCCAGUGGCACAUGGUUCAGAACUCCUUGGAUAAUGUGCCUGCAUCUCUACCCUUCUUCACUUAAGAUAUUGCUCAUCUGCAGCUGGAUUCAAACCCGUGAUAUGUGCCUAGCCCACAUAUGCGCUGCACUCUUACCACUUGUCCUAGGGGGUUGGGGGUGGGGGGCAUAUGUCUUCUUUAAUUUAGUUUGGUUUCUUCUUUAAUUUUGUCCAUUAUUGAAUUUAUUAUAGAAAUCAGGGCAUAUUGCUAAUAUUGCAUUAUCAGAAGCCUCAAUUUUGGUGUCUAAAUAACGUACUUUUGGGGCCACAUAUUUGUUAACUUUGCAUGAUCAUGGCAUAUAAUGGGUAGUUUCUGUUAUGUUAUCUGUUUUUUAAACUUCUAAACUGUGAAGGCUGCUUUCCUGUUGUCCAUUUUUGCGACACUUUAUUGUCUUGGUUUACUGGUAACAUUUCUUAGAGUAUAUGUUGCUUUACGCAUGCAUAAUGCAAAUCGAUUGAGAACUAUUUCCUUUUGUGUAUUUAAAUUCUUGUUACUGCAGGAGAUGAUUACAAGAUUAAGGUUUGGAACUAUAAGCUGCAUCGCUGCCUGUUUACCCUACUAGGACAUCUUGAUUAUAUCCGAACUGUUCAAUUUCACCAUGAAUAUCCCUGGAUUGUUAGUGCAAGUGACGACCAGACCAUCCGGAUAUGGAACUGGCAGUCUCGUACUUGUAUAUCCGUCUUGACUGGCCACAAUCAUUAUGUAAUGUGCGCCUCAUUUCAUCACAAAGAGGACUUGGUUGUCUCUGCUUCUUUGGAUCAGACAGUUCGUGUCUGGGAUAUUGGUGCUCUAAGAAAGAAAACCGUUUCUCCUGCUGAUGAUAUCUUGCGGUUAAGUCAGAUGAAUACUGAUUUCUUUGGUGGAGUGGAUGCUGUGGUGAAGUAUGUCUUGGAGGGUCAUGAUAGAGGGGUUAACUGGGCAUCGUUUCAUCCUACACUCCCCCUUAUAGUUUCUGGUGCAGAUGAUCGCCAAGUGAAAAUUUGGCGCAUGAAUGGUAUGCUCCUGAAAUUCUUGAUGUACUUGAUUGCCAUCUUUACUUGCUUUAUUCCACAUUCACUUUUCGUGUCUCGUCACCUGUGGAACCUAGAACACCAAAAUAAGUUCAUUUGAUGAAACGAUACAUUGCAAACUUCAUGCUAUUUGCAUAUUUUUCAGUUAUACAUCAGUCUAGCUGCAAGACAACUUUUGUGCUGUCCACUUGUCCCUUAGAAGUAGGAGUAUGUUAUAUGUCUUCCUUUCAGCUUAUAUUCAGAAAUCAUCCAUUAGGAUUUCCCUAAUCACUGGAAAUUGGUUGUUAACUUGAAAAUCUGAGAUGGUGAUAUCGCUACUAUAGUAUAUUAAUGUUGUUACCUGCAUCUUUCUGUACCGUGUACAUCUGAAGAUGUUACAAUGAAAAGCUGCAUUCUGUUCAUCCCCCCUCUGUCCUUUUUUUUUGUGGUGUGCGUGUGUGUGUGUGUGUGUGGGGGGGGGGGGGUUAAAACCUUUNNNNNNNNNNNNNNNNNNNNNNNNNNNNNNNNNNNNNNNNNNNNNNNNNNNNNNNNNNNNGGGGGGGGGGGGGGUUAAAACCUUUCUGAAGCUUGCUUGAAGCUGACUUGAGUUGUACUGCAGUUCAGUGUCUUACUAUCUAUAAUGAGGCAAAAGUUUCCCCCUCCCCGGAAGAACCAUAUUUUUAACUUUAAAUACUCCUUUAGAGCAAGAAUGGUUUUUUUCCAACUUGAAGCAAUAACUGGAUUAAAGUUGCUGGUUCAGCUUGUAAAACUAUUUAAGGGUUUAAAACCUUUCUGACGCUUGCUUGAAGCUGAUUUGAGUUGUACUGCAGUUCAGUGUCUUACUAUCUAUAAUGAGGCAAAAGUUUCCCCCUCCCUGGAAGAACCAUAUUUUUAACUUUAAAUACUCCUUCAGAGCAAGAAUGGUUUUUUUCCAACUUGAAGCAAUAACUGGAUUAAAGUUGCUGGUUCAGCUUGUAAAACUAUUUAUUCUUGGUAGCAGAAUUGUUGAACGGAGUCUUGCUGGUUGAAAAACUGCUUAUUUUGUUGAAGGAAUCUUACAUUUUAAGUAUUUUCUGAUUGCUAGUGUGCCUUGUUGUUCCUAGAUACAAAGGCUUGGGAGGUGGACACAUUGAGAGGCCACAUGAACAAUGUUUCAUGUGUUUUGUUUCAUCCAAGGCAAGAUAUUAUUGUUUCAAAUUCAGAGGAUAAGAGCAUUCGAGUAUGGGAUGCUACAAAAAGGACUGGUCUUCAGACUUUCCGCAGGGAGCAUGAUAGGUUUUGGAUCCUUGCAUGUCAUCCUGAGAUGAAUCUUCUAGCGGCUGGUCAUGAUAGUGGGAUGAUAGUAUUCAAGCUGGAGAGAGAACGUCCUGCUUUUUCUGUGAGUAGUGAUUCUUUGUUUUAUGUAAAGGAUCGAUUUCUCCGAGUGUAUGAGUAUUCAACUCAGAAGGACACACAGUUGAUACCAAUUAGAAGGCCCGGUUCAAACAGUGUGAACCAAGGUCCACGAACACUUUCAUAUAGUCCUACAGAAAAUGCUAUAUUGAUAUGUUCAGACACGGAUGGUGGUUCCUAUGAACUUUAUGUUGUACCUAAAGAUAGUUAUGGUAGGGGUGAUACUGUUCAAGAUGCA